AAGAGGUAGCACCAAGCUUACCUCGGCUUAUGACUCUCAUAGUAUGGCCCUCGGCUUACUUUCUUCAACCUAUUUAUCCUACCAAAAAGAUGAUCCAUCGGCUAGCGGAUUCUAAAGGUUAUGAUCAUUUGAAUUCUUAACCAUUUAUUUCACUAACAACCUACUGUUACCAACUAAACUACCUAAUCAUCUGUCUAAUUCUCAAAGUUGUCAAUAACCAACCAGUAACUUAUCACAAAGUUAAUUUACCUAUUCUACAUAGGCCCACUCCUAAUUGUGCAGAGUCCUUGCAAAUAUUAUUUAGCCUCAACUUAUAAAGACGUAGUAGCGUUGGCUUACCAUCCUUUGAAUUAGUGACCUUCUCCUCUUUAUAUCUUCGUCAUCUGCCUCAGUGUUUGAGGGUUCUCUAUCCAAACGUGCUGUUAGAUCUUCAUUCAACAAAUCCAAUUCCCGUACUUGAGACUCACAUUGGAUAAUUUGGUUGUCAUGCUCCCCCAACAUCUUCUACCAUUUUUCUGUCGGUUUCAAAGGUAUCUCCGUAGGUGAUAUCGCUGAAACUGGUGUAUUGGUCUACACUAAAUUAUUGGCCUCCUUUGUUAAUGCGGCUAGUUUAGUUUGCAACAUCACAACCUCUAUCUGUAGUCGUUCUUGCUGUUCCUUCCAAUCGAUCUCCAUCCUUACUAUCUCAGAUAUCAUAUUCGCCAUC
Molecule: long non-coding RNA, 706 nt
Filed under: Physcomitrium patens
Lineage: Eukaryota; Viridiplantae; Streptophyta; Bryopsida; Funariales; Funariaceae
Description: long non-coding RNA (PPAT_LNC003700)
Source: RNAcentral